This 265-nucleotide signal recognition particle RNA is filed under the name Clostridium homopropionicum. RNAcentral describes it as "Bacterial large signal recognition particle RNA". It matches the Rfam family "Bacterial large signal recognition particle RNA". From Rfam's summary of the family: The signal recognition particle (SRP) is a universally conserved ribonucleoprotein involved in the co-translational targeting of proteins to membranes. Archaeal SRP consists of a 7S RNA and homologues of the eukaryotic SRP19 and SRP54 proteins. In most bacteria, the SRP consists of a 4.5S RNA and the Ffh protein (a homologue of the eukaryotic SRP54 protein). RNAcentral also lists the same sequence under 1 other name. Lineage: Bacteria; Bacillati; Bacillota; Clostridia; Eubacteriales; Clostridiaceae. The record is from RNAcentral.
UCGUGCUAGAUGGGAAGUUAGCGGUGUCCUGUAACCUGUAAUCCGCUACAGCAGGGUUGAAUUCCUCGCUUAGGCCUUGAAAUGUGAGGUCUGGCCUAUAUAAGUGGCGUUGAUAACUGGGCCCCACGCAAGGAAAACUUGCGAACCCCGUCAGGUCUGGAAGGAAGCAGCGGUAAGUGAGACCUUUCCUGUGCCGUGGGUAAACCUGGUUUGAGUUAACUGUAUAGGUAACGCUCAUAUUUCACUGUCGACGCGAGGUGCACGA